GUUUUGUAGCUAGGGCAAUUGUCAGCCUCCAGCCAGGGUUGCAUUACUUCUGUCUCAUUCUUAUUUACAUCAACAUUUUCUAUCCUAUUAAAUAUAGUCAUAAAGUCUUGUAGCCAAAGUCUACAGCAGGCAGAGGACUUGGCUAAGAUAAAUGGAAUUGAGGGGACUUUCAGAGGCUCAUAUUCAGAAGAUAUAGUCAAAUAAAGGCUAAACCAUUCCUAAAUGGAGCAGCAAGGAGAUACAGAGGUUACCAGGAAGAUGACAAUCCAACUGGUGGACAUCCUGUUCCUCAAAAGCUAUGUCUGCAUCAAUUUCACACUCACUGCAGAAAACGGAAAGGAGAACUUCCAGACUGACAGAUGUAACCUUAGCUAGAAAUCAGGCACUGUGCAUGAGGAAAACAUUUAAAAAAAUCAACCAAAUAGAGAAAACUGUGAAAUUAAAACUUAGGCGCUCCCUGAAUUUCAAUAUGAUUUUGGACUUGCUUUGCAGGAAUUAAACUACAAGUAUUUAGCAGAUUAG
Long non-coding RNA from Passer domesticus (house sparrow), 522 nucleotides. RefSeq lists it as uncharacterized. The transcript is spliced from 5 exons. Lineage: Eukaryota; Metazoa; Chordata; Aves; Passeriformes; Passeridae. The record is from RefSeq and is a predicted model, not a curated record.